UACAGAGGUCUCAAGCGUUGUUCGGAUUCAUUGGGCGUAAAGGGUGCGUAGGCGGCGCGGUAAGUCGGGUGUGAAAUCUCGGGGCUUAACUCCGAAACUGCAUUCGAUACUGCCGUGCUUGAGGACUGGAGAGGAGACUGGAAUUUACGGUGUAGCGGUGAAAUGCGUAGAUAUCGAUAAGGAAGACCAGUGGCGAAGGCGGGUCUCCGUGGACAGCUUCCUUCGA
RNAcentral lists this ribosomal RNA (226 nucleotides) under uncultured bacterium. RNAcentral's name for it is "partial 16S ribosomal RNA". It matches the Rfam family "Bacterial small subunit ribosomal RNA", at positions 524 to 746 of the family's 1533-position model. The record is from RNAcentral.